UUGACCUCAAAUCAGGUAGGACCACCCGCUGAACUUAAGCAUAUCAAUAAGCGGAGGAAAAGAAACUAACCAGGAUUCCCUUAGUAACUGCGAGUGAACCGGGAAGAGCUCAAAUUUGUAAUCUGGCGGUCAUUCGAUCGUCCGAGUUGUAAUCUAGAGAAGUGUUACCUGCUCUGGACCGUGUACAAGUCUCCUGGAAUGGAGCAUCACAGAGGGUGAGAAUCCCGUCUUUGACAUGGACUGCCAGAGCUUAAUAGGUGUGCUCUCGAAGAGUCGAGUUGUUUGGGAAUGCAGCUCAAAAUGGGUGGUAAAUGCCAUCUAAAGCUAAAUAUUGGCGAGAGACCGAUAGCGAACAAGUACCGUGAGGGAAAGAUGAAAAGAACUUUGGAAAGAGAGUUAAACAGUACGUGAAAUUGCUGAAAGGGAAACGCUUGAAGUCAGUCGCGUCGGUCGGAAAUCAACCUUGCUUCUGCUGGGCGUACUUUCCGUCCGACGGGUCAGCGUCAGUUUCGGUCGCUGGAUAAAGUUCUUGGGAAUGUGGCAUCCUCGGAUGUGUUAUAGCCCUUUGACAUACGCAGCGGCCGGGAUUGAGGAAUUCAGCACGCCCUCCGGGGCUGGGGACUCGUCCCACAAUCUGGGUGCUUAGGAUGCUGGCGUAAUGGCUUUAAUCGACCCGUCUUGAAACACGGACCAAGGAGUCUAACAUGCCUGCGAGUGUUUGGGUGGAAAACCCAUGCGCGCAAUGAAAGUGAAGGUUGAGAUCCCUGUCGUGGGGAGCAUCGACGCCCAGACCAGACCUUCUUGUGACGGAUCUGCGGUAGAGCAUGCAUGUUGGGACCCGAAAGAUGGUGAACUAUGCCUGAAUAGGGUGAAGCCAGAGGAAACUCUGGUGGAGGCUCGUAGCGAUUCUGACGUGCAAAUCGAUCGUCAAAUUUGGGUAUAGGGGCGAAAGACUAAUCGAACCAUCUAGUAGCUGGU
RNAcentral lists this ribosomal RNA (978 nucleotides) under Inosperma cf. reisneri LAS97067. RNAcentral's name for it is "eukaryotic LSU rRNA". It matches the Rfam family "Eukaryotic large subunit ribosomal RNA", at positions 1 to 955 of the family's 3401-position model. The record is from RNAcentral. Lineage: Eukaryota; Fungi; Basidiomycota; Agaricomycetes; Agaricales; Inocybaceae.